GGCAAUGUAGCUCAGUGGUAGAGCGGGAAGUUCAUAACUUCUAGGUCAUCGGUUCAAUUCCUUUCAUUGCCU
Molecule: transfer RNA, 72 nt
Filed under: Pedobacter sp.
Lineage: Bacteria; Pseudomonadati; Bacteroidota; Sphingobacteriia; Sphingobacteriales; Sphingobacteriaceae
Description: tRNA-Met
Rfam family: tRNA
About the family: Transfer RNA (tRNA) molecules are approximately 80 nucleotides in length. Their secondary structure includes four short double-helical elements and three loops (D, anti-codon, and T loops).
Source: RNAcentral